Molecule: ribosomal RNA, 292 nt
Filed under: uncultured bacterium
Lineage: Bacteria
Also listed under: 1 other name
Description: partial 16S ribosomal RNA
Source: RNAcentral
GGACUACUGGGGUAUCUAAUCCCGUUUGCUCCCCUGGCCUUCGUGCCUCAGCGUCAGCAACUGUCCAGGAACUCGCCUUCGCCACUGGUCUUCCUUACGAUAUCUACGCAUUUCACUGCUACACCGUAAAUUCCAGUUCCCUCUCCAGUGCUCUAGUAAGGCAGUAUCCAGUGCAGUUCCGGAGUUGAGCUCCGGGAUUUCACACCAGACUUACCUCACCGCCUACGCACCCUUUACGCCCAAUGAAUCCGAACAACGCUUGAGACCUCUGUAUUACCGCGGCUGCUGGCAC